Molecule: ribosomal RNA, 218 nt
Filed under: uncultured bacterium
Lineage: Bacteria
Description: partial 16S ribosomal RNA
Rfam family: Bacterial small subunit ribosomal RNA
Source: RNAcentral
GAUAACGCUGGCGGCGUGCCUAAUGCAUGCAAGUCGAACGGGUCGCAGCUUCGGCUGUGGUCAGUGGCGGACGGGUGAGGAACACGUACGCAACCUGCCCUCUGGUGGGGAAUAACCUUCGAAGAGGGCUAAUGCCGCAUCCGCUCACCUGGUAAGGCUGGGUGAGGAAAGCCCGUGAGGGCGCUGGAGGAGGGCGUGCGGCCGAUUAGCUAGUUGGU